Non-coding RNA from Pantherophis guttatus, 663 nucleotides. The record is from RefSeq and is a predicted model, not a curated record. NCBI's taxonomy places the organism in Eukaryota, Metazoa, Chordata, Lepidosauria, Squamata, Colubridae.
CCUCUGCCUUAGCAAGUGGCGUGCAAAAGUUCGGCCGGGCUCCUCAAGAGAUGGAGUUUGCAAGGGUCGAUCUAGCACCCUUGCUGCUGGCUACAAGACAAACGUUCAUUCUCAGCUUUGAGAUUCCUAGUUGCAAUGGGCAGCAUAGCUAGGUUCGUCCCCUGCACCGAUCUGGCAGACAAAACAGGAAAAGGUGGCAGAGAGAAACAGUCCCGUUGCCAAGGAAAAUGGUCCAGACCACAAGAUUCCACAGUCUCCCCUGCAGGCCAAACAAAAUUUCAGAGCACUAUUCGAAAUUGAGCUCCCGUAAAUAGUGGAAUAAUAUCCAAAGAACACCCUCAUACCCUAGAAGCAGCUCUGAGCAACUAAAACCUCUGGCUUCUGAUAAAGAUACAUUGCUAUAUAUGGAAGGAGGCAGACAAAAACAGAUGAAAAGCAGCACUGACAUCCCAUGAAGCAGGAGUGCUGAAGAAUUUAGAAAAGAGGAGGAGAGAGCACGCCCUCUCCUGGCCAAAAAAAGUCAAGGCUUUUUUUCCCAACCUAUUACAGUAUUUCUGUGUUUGUUUUUAAUACCUGGGCUACUAAUCCAGGAGCAGAAAGGAGGAGAUACUUGUCUCUUCCUUCUGUCCUUUUCUUAAUAAAACUCUGCUCUCUGAACUCUCA